GGCCCGGACACUAUGAGGAUUGACAGAUUAAAAGCUCUUUCUUGAUUUGGUGGUUGGUGGNGCAUGCCCGUUCUUAGUUGGUGGANCGAUUUGUCUGGUUAAUUCNGAUAACGAACGAGACUCCAGCCUGCUAAUUAGUGCAUCUGUCCACUGUGUCUGUGUAGGCGGCAUCCGGCAAGGCUGCUUCCGUCGGCUGUCUUGGUAUGUUUGCCUUCGGGUAUGCGUAGCUUGAUAGUUGGAUGUGGCUGGUUCGGUGUUAGCUUCCGGGCAUGGCGCGGGUGUUAACUUCUUAGAGGGACAAGCGUAAGAAGGCGCACGAAAUUGAGCAAUAACAGGUCUGUGAUGCCCUUAGAUGUCCGGGGCCGCACGCGCGCUACAAUGACGGUGGCAAUGAGUCUGACCUUCUGGCCCGAAAGGGUUGGACAAACUGGUCAAUCACCGUCAUGACAGGGAUCGGGGCUUGGAAUUGUUCCCCGUGAACGAGGAAUUCCUAGUAAGUGCAAGUCAUAAGCUUGCGCUGAUUACGUCCCUGCCCUUUGUACACACCGCCCGUCGCUACUACCGAUUGAAUGGUUUAGUAAGGUCCUUGGAUUGGUGCCAUUGUGGUGGGUGCCGAAAGGUAAUCACCCGAAAGGCGCUGAGAAGACGACCAAACUUGAUCAUUUAGAGGAAGUAAAAGUCGUAACA
This 687-nucleotide ribosomal RNA is filed under the name Duplicibothrium minutum. Its description in RNAcentral is "SSU rRNA". It matches the Rfam family "Eukaryotic small subunit ribosomal RNA", at positions 1221 to 1796 of the family's 1831-position model. Lineage: Eukaryota; Metazoa; Platyhelminthes; Cestoda; Tetraphyllidea; Serendipidae. The record is from RNAcentral.